Molecule: ribosomal RNA, 230 nt
Filed under: uncultured bacterium
Lineage: Bacteria
Description: partial 16S ribosomal RNA
Rfam family: Bacterial small subunit ribosomal RNA
Source: RNAcentral
AAGCGUGCGCAGGCGGUUUUGUAAGACUGUCGUGAAAUCCCCGGGCUCAACCUGGGAAUGGCGAUGGUGACUGCAAGGCUAGAGUUUGGCAGAGGGGGGUAGAAUUCCACGUGUAGCUAGUGAAAUGCGUAGAUAUGUGGAGGAACACCGAUGGCGAAGGCAGCCCCCUGGGUCAAAACUGACGCUCAUGCACGAAAGCGUGGGGAGCAAACAGGAUUAGAUACCCGAGU